AUAAAUGCGCGUUCUCAAACUUAUUUCGCAGUGCACUGGGGGCACAGUAUAGGCUGGAGCGUAGCUUUCAACUUCAAUGGCGUGCCAGGAGCAGGGUCCACGGAAUCCGCCGUGGUCCUGACGGCGGCGCAUUCCAAAAAUGGGAAGAAUUUGUACAGACAUUUAAUCAUGUAAAAUGAAGUUGAGAUGGAUACGAAGGAUUUGAGGGACCAACAAAAGAGGUAACGAGCAAGCGCCUGAACAACAAAGAAAGCUUGUUGAAGAUGUGGGUACGUAGUUUACCUGGUUUUUCUCAUUUACACCAAUGGAGAAAAACUUUCUUGCAAUGGGUGAGUCCACAACUAUGGGUUUGAAACUCCUCCAUUGCAUGCAAUGUAUAAUCAGAGGCAAGUCAUGUUGGCUAUUGUAGAUAAUCCUUGAAAGGAGUUCAUUUAGUGAUGUACAUAUCAAGAAAGGGUGAAGCCCUUGAAGAGAUUAGUAGGUCUGAACAUACCUAUGAUGAACAUUUUGUUUGGAUUCUUGUAGCUUGUUUUUGUUGUAUAUGUUACAUGUUUUCUCCUCUUAGAAUCAAGUUUGGAUGGCAGCCAAUGUACUAUGUGAAAGUGUGGAUGAUGUUGGCGGUGGACUACGAUGGAUUUUAAAUUGUUUGAAUUUAAUGGGUUCGAUUUGUUACAAAGUCAAUCAUGUUAAUGUGAAAUUU
This is a long non-coding RNA of Sesamum indicum (sesame), 700 nucleotides long. RefSeq lists it as uncharacterized. Lineage: Eukaryota; Viridiplantae; Streptophyta; Magnoliopsida; Lamiales; Pedaliaceae. The record is from RefSeq and is a predicted model, not a curated record.